RNAcentral lists this ribosomal RNA (450 nucleotides) under uncultured Glomeromycotina. RNAcentral's name for it is "SSU rRNA". It matches the Rfam family "Eukaryotic small subunit ribosomal RNA", at positions 569 to 1024 of the family's 1831-position model. The record is from RNAcentral. Lineage: Eukaryota; Fungi; Glomeromycota.
AGCAGCCGCGGUAAUUCCAGCUCCAAUAGCGUAUAUUAAAGUUGUUGCAGUUAAAAAGCUCGUAGUUGAAUUUCGGGGUCAAUAAGUUGGUCAUGCCAAUGGUAUGCACUGGCUUUAUUGAUUCCUACCUCUUGACGAACUGUGAUGCCAUUAAUUUGGUGUUGCAAGGAAUCAGGACUGUUACCUUGAAAAAUUAGAGUGUUUAAAGCAAGCUUACGCUUGAAUACAUUAGCAUGGAAUAAUGAAAUAGGACGUUUGAACCUAUUUUGUUGGUUUCUAGGAUCGACGUAAUGAUUAAUAGGGAUAGUUGGGGGCAUUAGUAUUCAAUUGUCAGAGGUGAAAUUCUUGGAUUUAUUGAAGACUAACUACUGCGAAAGCAUUUGCCAAGGAUGUUUUCAUUAAUCAAGAACGAAAGUUAGGGGAUCGAAGACGAUCAGAUACCGUCGUAGU